Xiphias gladius (swordfish) is the source of this 2852-nucleotide long non-coding RNA. RefSeq lists it as uncharacterized. The record is from RefSeq and is a predicted model, not a curated record. The transcript has 2 exons. NCBI's taxonomy places the organism in Eukaryota, Metazoa, Chordata, Actinopteri, Istiophoriformes, Xiphiidae.
UCUUUGAGGCAAAGAAUUUUUUAAGUGUUGUGCAGUGUUGUCAUGCCUGGUUGGAUUAUGUUAUAUCAAACCUUCUAAGCAAUGCUACGUAACACUUCUCAUGCUGUGUUGCAGGUGAGAUGGGAUGGCACAGUGGAAGAGGAAGUGGAGCAGGUCCAUUAUGCUAUUGACGCCAUUAUUGUAACUGUAUGGAUACAAGGGGUCUAAAUAGAAACCAAACGCUAAAAACUAAAAGUAUUUAUUUGUCAUCAGAGUGACAGGUUUGGUGUGAGGGAUAAAGCACAUCCUUUAAAUGAAAGAUAGGCAGCUGAUAUUGUAUACAACACAAUAUGCAUGCACAUUGUAGGAAGGGGUCCCAGAUUCCUGGGUUAAUUCAGUACACGUGUUUUCUCUUAAACCAUCCAGUUUGUGAUCUAUGAUGUGUAUGUAGUAUUGUUAUGUAAUGGAGACUGAACAGUAGUUGUAAUAUUUUCUUUACAGGUGAACAGCCUUCUCUCCAGGGCAUCUCUCGUCACAAAAUACAUGACAAAGGCAGGUUGGUGUUAAAUACAUGACAAAGGCAGGUUGGUGUUAAACUUACACUAAAAACUGUGAUAAGGCAGCCCUGAAUAGUGUUUUUACAGAGAAUUUGGAAAGCUUUUUUUUCUGUCCCUCCUUACGAAAGUUAUCGCAGUAUUACUUUACUGUAAUUUCCAGUUCAACAAACCUUUAAAGGUUGGGUUAAAGGUUUAGUUAUGUCUAUCAGAUUUCUCUCUCACUAUUGCCUUUUUUAUGUGAACACCUACUUUUGUCUUGUGGAUGCAUUUUUGUUUUAAUUAGGAAUAGUGAACAUGCUCACUCAACAGGCCAUGGGUUUGAACGGACAAAAGAGGGACAACCUUCAUCAAGUGUUGUCAAAGUUUUUUAGACUUACUGACCACUUAAAGUGCUUUACACUCUAUGCCAAAGUCAUCCUUCCAGUUAGUGGAUGACCUGUCAAGGUAAGGGCAAAUUAUCGUUGUCUUCUCAUCUGGCACUGCAUAUUUAUGACAAAUGCCUGCACUUUUAAAGGACUGUAACCUCACAACUAUAUAGAUAUUUUGUCUCUUUUCCACACCACCUCCUGGGAGUUAAAUUUGCAGAUAGCAACUUGGCAAGACAAAGCUAGAGAAAGAAAAUGACAUAGCUGAAGAAGCAGCUUCGUAAAAAGGUCUUGCAAUACAACCCCAUAGUGGAAGAAGAUCAGAUUGAUGAAGAGUCGGCUUGCAGCGUGACAGAGCUACAUCCUACCCUGGAAGAGACAUGAAGAUGAUUUUGGUGACCUGACGGAGGAUGAUACACAGUGGCUCGACAAUGUGCUCAGUUGGAGGCGGCACUCACUGAAAAGUCAACACCAAAAGGCUGUAAAUGUGUACAGUGGUAUAGCUGCUAUGGAAUCUGAUUUACUUCACAUGCAGGAGGACAUUGAGGAGUGGGAUAGAAUGGCUUCACAAGCCACGAGUCAGAGGAAGAAGACGUGUAAAGGCCACUGCCAAACAACACAGAGGAACUGGAGAGUUCAUUUCUGCUUUAGACAUGGCUGAAGGGCAGCCCUAAUGGAAACCAGUGUUUGGGGAAAUCCCUUCUGAAACUAACUAGUUACUCUACUUUGUAACUUGCCCUUAAUAAUAAUUGGUUACUUUACUUAGUUAGUCUUUAUUAAAAGAAAACCAUCCCUCUUAAAAUUGUGCCCUUCAAAUGUGACUACACUAAUUUCAUCACUAUUAUUGUAGUAAAUCAUCGCUAAGUAACAUUCUGCUGUUAUGUAAAGAAAACAUCAAAAUGUUUUCAUUUACCUUGUUCGACAGUAAAUAGUCAUAUCACAGGUGAAGUCUUAACUGAACCUGCCUCCUGGAAACUGCAGAUUCACUUCCAAAGUGCUUUCAAUUCCAAUCGUAGGUUAGAUAGUGAAAGCUUCACUUGUGGUGCCGCUGCUCUGUAGGCGACCAGGACAACUGUGCUCCUGCAUAGACAUUUCUGGCUAUAGUUUGGAAGCUGCAGUUUGUACAGUAGUGUGCUGACCAUUAUCUCCAUUUUCCAGUGUCAACACUAAGAAAACAAAAAAAAAAUAUUUUUGAUUCAGGACAUCUGGGGGAUCGGUUCUUGCGCAGACUCGGGGCGUUUGGGGUUGGACACGGGGUAAUGAUGUUAUUUUAUCACACUGUGAUAGACAGUAUAUUACGUUAAGGAAUUUCAGCUUGGUUAGGUGACUUGUCAUGAAGUUAAAAUCACAAAUAAACAGAGUGUUCCACACAGCAAUGAAAGUGGUGGGGGUUAGGGAGCAUCUCUCCCUCCAAAUGCUCUUUGAGAAGACUAUAGUUGAACAGGCUAGGAAAUUUAGAGCUGACCCCUUCCGUGUCCUGUAUUCCGAAUUGGAAAUGCUCCCAUCAGGUAGGACGCUACAUGGUUCCACUUAAAUACAGGAAAAGAUACUCGAAUAGGUAUAAAAACUCUUAUCUCUCUAUCAGUGAAUCUCCUAAACUCAGGACCUAAGGUGGGUGAGAAAUGAGGGGCUGUGUUGCAUGUAUUUGAACGCACUUAUGUGUGCACUUGUCUGUGCUGUGCACUUUAUGUCUGUUACUGCACUAUAUUGUACAGUAUGUACACAUUUUAAUGUGGUAGCCUUUAUGUCCGAGACAAAUUUCCUUAGUGGACAAAUAAAGUAACCUUCAAUCUUAACUUGCAGUUAACAACAAUGUUGUGACUCUGCUCUUCCAUCGGUUCACAGUAAUGUCAAUAAAUGUCUUUAUCUUUGACUUAUGUAUAGCACUUUGACUUGCUGAUCUGUAUGAAAUAAACUUGCCUUUAUAUUAAAUAGGCCUUUAUUACUCAAA